CUGAAAGGUGGGGGUGCCCGCAAGGGAGCGCGGAGACAGGUGUUGCAUGGCUGUCGUCAGCUCGUGUCGUGAGAUGUUGGGUUAAGUCCCGCAACGAGCGCAACCCUCACUGCCUGUUGCCAGCAUUCAGUUGGGCACUCUGGCAGAACUGCCCGGGUAACCGGGAGGAAGGUGGGGACGACGUCAAGUCAGCAUGGCCCUUACGCCUGGGGCUUCACACAUGCUACAAUGGCCGGUACAGAGGGUCCCGAGCCCGCGAGGGGGAGGCAAUCCCAAAAAGCCGGUCUCAGUUCGGAUCGCAGGCUGCAACUCGCCUGCGUGAAGUCGGAAUCGCUAGUAACCGCCGGUCAGCUAAACGGCGGUGAAUACGUUCCCGGGCCUUGUACACACCGCCCGUCACGUCACCUGAGUCUG
This 414-nucleotide ribosomal RNA is filed under the name uncultured bacterium. Its description in RNAcentral is "bacterial SSU rRNA". It matches the Rfam family "Bacterial small subunit ribosomal RNA", at positions 1001 to 1414 of the family's 1533-position model. The record is from RNAcentral.